Molecule: unclassified non-coding RNA, 292 nt
Filed under: plant metagenome
Description: partial contains small subunit ribosomal RNA, internal transcribed spacer 1, and 5.8S ribosomal RNA
Source: RNAcentral
UUUCCGUAGGUGAACCUGCGGAAGGAUCAUUAUUGAAUAAACCUGAUGUGGUUGUAGCUGGCCCUUUCGGGAGCAUGUGCACACCCGUCGUCUUUAUCUUUCCACCUGUGCACCUUUUUUAGACCUGGAUGUAACACUUUCCGAGGCAACUCGGUCGGGAGGAAUGCUGUCAGCUUUCCUUGAAUGUCCAGGCCUAUGUUUUCAUAUACCCCAAAGAAUGUAACAGAAUGUAUUAUUGGGCCUUGUGCCUAUAAACUAUAUACAACUUUCAGCAACGGAUCUCUUGGCUCUC